This 253-nucleotide ribosomal RNA is filed under the name uncultured bacterium. RNAcentral describes it as "partial 16S ribosomal RNA". It matches the Rfam family "Bacterial small subunit ribosomal RNA", at positions 524 to 776 of the family's 1533-position model. The record is from RNAcentral.
UACAGAGGUCCCAAGCGUUGUUCGGAUUCAUUGGGCGUAAAGGGUGCGUAGGUGGCGCCGUAAGUGGGGUGUGAAAUUUCGGAGCUUAACUCCGAAACUGCAUUCCAUACUGCGGUGCUUGAGGACUGGAGAGGAGACUGGAAUUUACGGUGUAGCAGUGAAAUGCGUAGAGAUCGUAAGGAAGACCAGUGGCGAAGGCGGGUCUCUGGACAGUUCCUGACGCUGAGGCACGAAGGUCAGGGGAGCAAACGGG